This 373-nucleotide unclassified non-coding RNA is filed under the name soil metagenome. RNAcentral describes it as "partial contains 5.8S ribosomal RNA, internal transcribed spacer 2, and large subunit ribosomal RNA". The stretch from base 1 to 121 matches the Rfam family "5.8S ribosomal RNA", at positions 35 to 154 of the family's 154-position model. The record is from RNAcentral.
GAUGAAGAACGCAGCGAAAUGCGAUAAGUAAUGCGAAUUGCAGAAUUCCAGUGGGUCAUCGAAUCUUUGAACGCACAUUGCGCCCUUUGGUAUUCCGAAGGGCAUGCCUGUUCGAGCGUCAUUAUCACCCCUCAAGCCCUCGGCUUGGUGUUGGACGGUUUGGUGGAGGCCCCCUCGGGGGUUCCUGCCCCUCCCAAAGACAAUGACGGCGGCCUCGUUGGACCCCCGGUACACUGAGUUCUUCACGGGACACGUAUCGGACACAUGGGUUUACGGGACACGGUCUGCCUCCCCUCAGGGAGAAUCUUUCUAAGGUUGACCUCGGAUCAGGUAGGGAUACCCGCUGAACUUAAGCAUAUCAAUAAGCGGAGGA